Molecule: ribosomal RNA, 18 nt
Filed under: Cladocopium sp. clade C
Lineage: Eukaryota; Dinophyceae; Suessiales; Symbiodiniaceae
Description: partial 28S ribosomal RNA
Source: RNAcentral
UAGCAUGUAGUCAGACAA